Molecule: long non-coding RNA, 337 nt
Filed under: Phoenix dactylifera (date palm)
Lineage: Eukaryota; Viridiplantae; Streptophyta; Magnoliopsida; Arecales; Arecaceae
Description: long non-coding RNA (PDAC_LNC014624)
Source: RNAcentral
UUGAAAUUAUCAUCUUGAUGCAUGUUUACUCGAGAUCGGAUUAGGAUCGAUUCACAACAGGAUUGAUAAGUAGUUGUGUUUGGGAUAGAACUUGAAAUGAAAUAGAUCUCAUACACUUAUCAUGGUAGUGUGUUGAUCCCUCAAAAGAUAAUGGCCAACCUUAGAGUCAAAUCAUUAAAUGGCUAGAAAUGUAAUUCACAAAAUGAACAUGUACUUAUGAUCAUUAGAUAGCAACGGUCUAUCUCAAAGAUGAUUUGCAUCAAAUCACAAGAGCAGAUCUGAGAAGGCAAAGUAUUGAUACCAUGAUUCAAUAUGCCACGAAGCUUUUAACUUAAAC